CCUUUUAAGCGGGGGAUCACUGGGGCUCAUGGGUCGAUGAGGAACGCAGCAAAAUUGUGCGUCAUCGUGUGAACUGCAGGACACAUGAACAUGGACAUUUGGAACGCAUAUGGCAGUCCAUGCUGUUUGGUACUUUAAUUAAUUUUAUAGUGCUGCUUGGACUACAUAUGGUUGAGGGUGG
Non-coding RNA from Drosophila virilis, 181 nucleotides. The record is from Rfam. NCBI's taxonomy places the organism in Eukaryota, Metazoa, Arthropoda, Insecta, Diptera, Drosophilidae.